RNAcentral lists this ribosomal RNA (253 nucleotides) under uncultured bacterium. Its description in RNAcentral is "partial 16S ribosomal RNA". It matches the Rfam family "Bacterial small subunit ribosomal RNA", at positions 524 to 776 of the family's 1533-position model. The record is from RNAcentral.
UACGUAGGGGGCUAGCGUUGUCCGGAAUCAUUGGGCGUAAAGAGCGUGUAGGCGGUCCGGUAAGUCCGCUGUGAAAGUCGGGGGCUCAACCCUCGAAUGCCGGUGGAUACUGUCGGGCUAGAGUGCGGAAGAGGCGAGUGGAAUUCCUGGUGUAGCGGUGAAAUGCGCAGAUAUCAGGAGGAACACCUAUUGCGAAGGCGGCUCGCUGGGACGUUACUGACGCUGAGACGCGAAAGCGUGGGGAGCAAACAGG